This 484-nucleotide ribosomal RNA is filed under the name uncultured bacterium. RNAcentral's name for it is "partial 16S ribosomal RNA". It matches the Rfam family "Bacterial small subunit ribosomal RNA", at positions 29 to 507 of the family's 1533-position model. The record is from RNAcentral.
AUUGAACGCUGGCGGCAUGCUUUACACAUGCAAGUCGAACGGCAGCGCGGGCUUCGGCCUGGCGGCGAGUGGCGAACGGGUGAGUAAUACAUCUGAACGUGCCCAGUAGUGGGGGAUAGCUCGGCGAAAGCCGGAUUAAUACCGCAUACGACCUGAGGGGGAAAGCGGGGGAUGUUCGGACCUCGCGCUAUUGGAGCGGCCGAUGGCAGAUUAGCUAGUUGGUGGGGUAAAGGCCUACCAAGGCGACGAGCUGUAGCUGGUCUGAGAGGACGACCAGCCACACUGGGACUGAGAGACGGCCCAGACUCCUACGGGAGGCAGCAGUGGGGAAUUUUGGAGAAUGGGCGAAAGCCUGAUCCAGCAAUGCCGCGUGUGUGAUGAAGGCCUUCGGGUUGUAAAGCACUUUUGGCGGGAACGAAAAGGACUGUGCCAAUACCACGGUUCGAUGACGGUACCCGCAGAAUAAGCACCGGCUAACUACGUG